This 251-nucleotide long non-coding RNA is filed under the name Lathyrus oleraceus (garden pea). Its description in RNAcentral is "Pisum sativum (pea) long non-coding RNA (PSAT_LNC005975)". The record is from RNAcentral. Lineage: Eukaryota; Viridiplantae; Streptophyta; Magnoliopsida; Fabales; Fabaceae.
AUCAAAACUCAUCAUAUUUAGACAAAAAUGUUUCAUUCAAUAUACAAAAAAUUAGAUUAGACAAAAGUGGAAUAAAAAACAUAUAUAAAUAGUAGCAUAAAAUAAUAUCGAAGAUAUUAUAAUAAAAAAAAAAUUAGAUUAGACAAAAGUGGAAUAAAAAACAUAUAUAAAUAGUAGCAUAAAAUAAUAUCGAAGAUAUUAUAAUAAAACAUAAAAAAACAUAUGAGAUGAGAGAUUAGAGAAGAUGAAAA